CCUACGGGAGGCUGCAGUGAGGAAUAUUGGUCAAUGGACGAGAGUCUGAACCAGCCAAGUAGCGUGAAGGAUGACUGCCCUAUGGGUUGUAAACUUCUUUUAUAUGGGAAUAAAACGUUCCACGUGUGGGAUUUUGUAUGUACCAUAUGAAUAAGGAUCGGCUAACGCCGUGCCAGCAGCCGCGGUAAUACGGAGGAUCCGAGCGUUAUCCGGAUUUAUUGGGUGUAAAGGGAGCGUAGGUGGAUUGUUAAGUCAGUUGUGAAAGUUUGCGGCUCAACCGUAAAAUUGCAGUUGAAACUGGCAGUCUUGAGUACAGUAGAGGUGGGCGGAAUUCGUGGUGUAGCGGUGAAAUGCUUAGAUAUCACGAAGAACUCCGAUUGCGAAGGCAGUUCACUGGACUGCAACUGACACUGAGGCUCGAAAGUGUGGGUAUCAAACAGGAUUAGAUACCCUUGUAGUC
Molecule: ribosomal RNA, 460 nt
Filed under: uncultured bacterium
Lineage: Bacteria
Description: partial 16S ribosomal RNA
Rfam family: Bacterial small subunit ribosomal RNA
Source: RNAcentral